AACCAUAGAAACCUGCGGAGUACCUGCGGAGGGAUCAUUACACAAUACAAUAUGAAGGCUGUCCGCAGCUGGAGUAUUUUAUUACCCUUGUCUUUUGCGCACUUGUUGUUUCCUGGGCGGGUUCGCUCGCCACCAGGACCACCAAAUAAACCUUCUUUAUGCAGUUGCAAUCAGCGUCAGUACAAACAAUGUAAAUCAUUUACAACUUUUAACAAUGGAUCUCAGAUCGGAAGAGCACAC
Molecule: unclassified non-coding RNA, 240 nt
Filed under: soil metagenome
Description: partial contains 5.8S ribosomal RNA, internal transcribed spacer 2, and large subunit ribosomal RNA
Source: RNAcentral